This 129-nucleotide ribosomal RNA is filed under the name Danio rerio (zebrafish). Lineage: Eukaryota; Metazoa; Chordata; Actinopteri; Cypriniformes; Danionidae. The record is from RNAcentral.
UGAGUUGGAAAUACAUACUGGCAGCUAGCUCUCAGCAAUUCUCACAUGGUCACCCCCAAGCUAAGCAGAACUGUGCCUGGUCAGUACCUGGAUGAGAGACCACAUGCAAAAGCUAGGUUUCUGUCAGAA